AACGUAGGAGACAAACGUUAUCCGGAGUUACUGGGCGUAAAGGGCGUGUAGGCGGUCUGUUAAGUCUGGCGUGAAAGCUCUCGGCUAAACCGGGAGAGGUCGUUGGAUACUGGCAGACUAGAGGACGGUAGAGGCGUGUGGAAUUCCGGGUGUAGUGGUGAAAUGCGCAGAUAUCGGGAGGAACACCAAUGGCGAAGGCAGCUCGCUGGGACGGUACUGACGCUGAGACGCGAAAGCGUGGGGAGCAAACAGG
Molecule: ribosomal RNA, 253 nt
Filed under: uncultured bacterium
Lineage: Bacteria
Description: partial 16S ribosomal RNA
Rfam family: Bacterial small subunit ribosomal RNA
Source: RNAcentral